UACGUAGGGUGCGAGCGUUGUCCGGAAUUACUGGGUGUAAAGGGUCCGCAGGCGGGCAGGAAAGUCAGAGGUGAAAGCCCCGGGCUCAACCUGGGAAUUGCAUUCGAGACUGAAUAGCUAGGGUACGGUAGAGGGAAGCGGAAUUUCCGGUGUAGCGGUGAAAUGCGUAGAUAUCGGAAGGAACAUCAGUGGCGAAAGCGGCUUCCUGGACCAGUACCGACGUUCAGGCACGAAAGCGUGGGGAGCAAACAGG
This 253-nucleotide ribosomal RNA is filed under the name uncultured bacterium. RNAcentral describes it as "partial 16S ribosomal RNA". It matches the Rfam family "Bacterial small subunit ribosomal RNA", at positions 524 to 776 of the family's 1533-position model. The record is from RNAcentral.